GUCCAGCUGAAGAGUCCCAAAUAGGACGAAAGGCGCGUCAAACUGGAU
Non-coding RNA from Schistosoma mansoni, 48 nucleotides. Lineage: Eukaryota; Metazoa; Platyhelminthes; Trematoda; Strigeidida; Schistosomatidae. The record is from Rfam.